UACGGGGGGGGCAAGCGUUGUUCGGAAUUACUGGGCGUAAAGGGCGCGUAGGCGGUUCGAUAAGUCAGCUGUGAAAACCAUGGGCUUAACUCAUGGCCUGCAGUUGAGACUGUCGGGCUGGAGUGUGGGAGAGGAGAGUGGAAUUCCUGGUGUAGCGGUGAAAUGCGUAGAUAUCAGGAGGAACACCGGUGGCGAAGGCGGCUCUCUGGACCACAACUGACGCUGAGGCGCGAAAGCUAGUGGAGCAAACAGG
This 253-nucleotide ribosomal RNA is filed under the name uncultured bacterium. RNAcentral describes it as "partial 16S ribosomal RNA". It matches the Rfam family "Bacterial small subunit ribosomal RNA", at positions 524 to 776 of the family's 1533-position model. The record is from RNAcentral.